Molecule: non-coding RNA, 1064 nt
Organism: Chelonoidis abingdonii (Abingdon island giant tortoise)
Lineage: Eukaryota; Metazoa; Chordata; Testudines; Testudinidae
Source: RefSeq, a predicted model, not a curated record
AGUGCCUGUUUAAAGAGGGUUGUAUCUGGGUGUGGGGGGGUAUAGUUUAAAAAAACAAAAUCCACAACUAGGAACUGGCACAUGUGAUCAGCUAAGGAGUAAGCACAUGGGCCUCUGACUGGUGGAUGAACCAAGUGCACCAAUCUAGGUGAGUUUCAGUCUUCAAAAGGUUCCCUCCAGCCCUUCCCCCUUGGUACCCUCCAAAAGGAGUUGUCAGUGGACAGACAGAACAGCCUAGCUGGGUCUAUCCUCAUGAGAGUUGCUAUUUCCCAGCAAGCUACAACUCCACACUGGCCCUUUUUCACGUUGCCCCUUUCAAGUGGGACGUAGAACCUCAAGGAGUUUUAACCAGUGCUGGCCUCCCCUCCUCCCCCCAGGGAACAUGCACACAGCUGCCUUACUGCACUGGCUUGCUUUUGGUUCGUUUAGGAGGCUCUUGAUCCUCCUGGGAGGUCAGAAUAUCAGCAACAGGGAGAUUCACUGGGCUGGGGGCCUGGCCAACAAGAAAGUCUUUUAAAAAGAGUCCAGUUAAGCAACUUCACAUAAACCGAGGACACUGAACCCUCCUGCCAGGAGAAUAAGCAGGACUCAGCAAUCCUGUGCUCCAAACGGCCGAGGCUGUCCUGGGCGCCAGGAAACAAUCCCCUCCCCAAGGCUCAUUGCAGGGACCAUUAAGACAUCCUUUUUCUACCUUGCUCUUCCACACUAAGUUUCCCUUUGGUCUUGGGCAGGUGCCCCCGAGGGAGGUUGCCCAUUUCAAACGGCCGAAGGCCUGGCUUCAGGGUUCUGAUAAGCUCCCAGCCAUUCCUGAGACCAUAAAUUCAGCUCCCCUCCUCCCACCUGAUUUCCCCAGUUAAUUACUAAACUGUUAAUUUCAAGACCAAACAUCGCUUGUAUUGCUAGCAAAAGUGCAUCGUAAAACGAAAGUGUAAACGAGUCCCUCCUCCACGCAUCACCGUACCAGAGACUCGGCUAACACAGCGAUUGAUCGCCACCACAAGGAAAGAGCUUUAACCAAAUGGGGACGGGGAGCUUACAGGGAAAACACAAUCUUUAAAAGAAAA